GACGAACGCUGGCGGCGUGCCUAAUACAUGCAAGUAGAACGCUGAAGGAGGAGCUUGCUUCUCUGGAUGAGUUGCGAACGGGUGAGUAACGCGUAGGUAACCUGCCUGGUAGCGGGGGAUAACUAUUGGAAACGAUAGCUAAUACCGCAUAAGAGUAGAUGUCGCAUGACAUUUGCUUAAAAGGUGCAAUUGCAACACUACCAGAUGGACCUGCGUUGUAUUAGCUAGUUGGUGAGGUAACGGCUCACCAAGGCAACGAUACAUAGCCGACCUGAGAGGGUGAUCGGCCACACUGGGACUGAGACACGGCCCAGACUCCUACGGGAGGCAGCAGGAGGGAAUCUUCGGCAAUGGACGGAAGUCUGACCGAGCAACGCCGCGGGAGGGAAGAAGGGUGUCGGAUCGUAAAGCUCUGUUGUAAGAGAAGAACGAGUGUGAGAGUGGAAAGUUCACACUGUGACGGUAUCUGACCAGAAAGGGACGGCUAACUACGUG
This 495-nucleotide ribosomal RNA is filed under the name uncultured bacterium. RNAcentral describes it as "partial 16S ribosomal RNA". It matches the Rfam family "Bacterial small subunit ribosomal RNA", at positions 28 to 507 of the family's 1533-position model. The record is from RNAcentral.